AAUACGAGAUUAUGCCGACAAAAAUGUGACCAAAAUUUUCUGUGUGCAUCCAAGUUACCAAUAAAUGCACACUAUCAUACCAAGCCUCAUCGUACCUCCUCUCUUUGCCACGAUUGACGAUCAACAUCACCCCACGAACAAACAGCAAGAUCUCCAACAAUGCCAAACAAUAGGAUGAUCAUUGUACCACUGAAGUUGCUAGCGUGCAGUCCGGUUCUUCUAUAAAGUGCAUGGUGGUUAGAAUCAAGUGAAAUUGACAUCAAAAUCCACAACAUCAAUUGAGAAGAAAGACCCGCGUCUAGUACGUAAACCGCGUGUGCCUCCGAAGGGUCUGGAUUUGACACGCAGGUUAUAGAGGUAACAUAAAAGUCCUCCUUUCUACAUAACGUAGCACUAAUACGAACAUUUAGCUCUCCUCGCAUGUACUAAGUGCUGAUCAUGUGCUACGAACGGACAAUUCGUUGAGCGAAUCGAGAUCAUAGAGCUCCGUUCCCAAAACCAAGCCCAUUGCUAAUUACAAUUAAACCACGUUAUCCGGACGAAAUAUAUACGAACAGAAGGCCUUCAAAACCAGAGGGCCUUUUUGUUUGCAGUCCAAUCUGGCACGUGAAGACCGGACAGAACGCUCUGUCUCUCUCACUGCAUGUACUUUCCCCGUGCCCUUGAGACGACCGCUGCGGGAGGCUGUAUGAGUAGGAUCUACGCAAAGAGGAAAGGAGAGGAGUGACAUCAUCACUUUGUUGCGACG
Aedes aegypti (yellow fever mosquito) is the source of this 748-nucleotide long non-coding RNA. RefSeq lists it as uncharacterized. The transcript is spliced from 4 exons. NCBI's taxonomy places the organism in Eukaryota, Metazoa, Arthropoda, Insecta, Diptera, Culicidae. The record is from RefSeq and is a predicted model, not a curated record.